This 955-nucleotide long non-coding RNA is filed under the name Lupinus angustifolius (narrow-leaved blue lupine). RNAcentral's name for it is "long non-coding RNA (LANG_LNC001803)". The record is from RNAcentral. Lineage: Eukaryota; Viridiplantae; Streptophyta; Magnoliopsida; Fabales; Fabaceae.
UUGCUGGUUCAGUAUUAAAGAAGAGUAUGUAAGGAAGAAUAGAUGAAAUACAUUAUUCAAAAUUAAACUCUCUUACAUCAAUUCCCUCUAUAAAUUAUUCCUUCCAAGUCUUUACAACUCAAGACAAACACAUCCAUGCAGGAAAAGAGAGAAUAGAGAGAGCUUCAACCAAAGAAACUUCACCAAAUAAUUAGUUUCAUCACACACAAAAAAUCACUUCACAAAAGUUGAGUUUUCUCAUAACAGCAAUGUCAACAACUCUACCACCACCAUACACAACUUAUGCACCACCUUUACCUGCAUCAGAUUUCUUUUCAUCUGAUUCAUCAUCACCUUCUUCUUCAUCUACUUCAACAUUUGGAAUCAUCAUUGGUGUCAUGGUUGGGGUCCUUGGGGUUAUUUUAGCGUUUGGAAUUUGGCACAAGUUUCUUAAGAAGAGGUUUGAAUGGCACAGAGACUGUUCGUAGUGAACCCUAUCUUCAAGUGUUGUGUAUUGUUAUAAUUCAAGUUUCAUUGUAGACGUUAUAAUCUUCAGGUUUUGAUACCAUGGAAGCAGCAAAAAAAAAUACAAACGAUGUGGGGAAAAUAAAUUAAGCCAUUAAUGAAUUGUGUUUUCAUAAAUUUGAGUUCUCAAACAUUCAAUGUUUAUUAUGUUAGUGAAGAUUAUAUAUAUUAUUUUUGUUAAGAAGUAUAUCUGUAAACUUUGAGUGUUGUCCAAACUAGGGGAGGUAUGUUAAGUCCAAACAAAAGGAUUAAUUGUCAAAUAUAUGACUUUGGGUUCAAUAUCAAAUUUUAUAUAUACAAAGAAAAUGAUUCUGAGGGAUUCUCUCUUAAUACAAAUAACUACAUAUUACAAGCAAGAGUGGUUCCCAGAGCAACUAAAAAAACAAAUACGGACUUAGGAAAUGGAUUAAUUCCUUUUGCAAGUAUUAAAAUAUAGCAAAGUGUAUAUGGC